GGCUCGGUAGCUCAGUUGGUAGAGCAACGGACUGAAAAUCCGUGUGUCGGCGGUUCGAGUCCGUCCCGAGCCACCA
RNAcentral lists this transfer RNA (76 nucleotides) under Bacillus sp. FJAT-27445. RNAcentral's name for it is "tRNA-Phe". It matches the Rfam family "tRNA". From Rfam's summary of the family: Transfer RNA (tRNA) molecules are approximately 80 nucleotides in length. Their secondary structure includes four short double-helical elements and three loops (D, anti-codon, and T loops). The record is from RNAcentral. Lineage: Bacteria; Bacillati; Bacillota; Bacilli; Caryophanales; Bacillaceae.